GAGUGGACGCUGGCGGUAGGCCUAACACAUGCACGUCGAACGGCAGCACAGUAAGAGCUUGCUCUUACGGGUGGCGAGUGGCGGACGGGUGAGGAAUACAUCGGAAUCUACUUUUUCGUGGGGGAUAACGUAGGGAAACUUACGCUAAUACCGCAUACGACCUACGGGUGAAAGCAGGGGAUCUUCGGACCUUGCGCGAUUGAAUGAGCCGAUGUCGGAUUAGCUAGUUGGCGGGGUAAAGGCCCACCAAGGCGACGAUCCGUAGCUGGUCUGAGAGGAUGAUCAGCCACACUGGAACUGAGACACGGUCCAGACUCCUACGGGAGGCAGCAGUGGGGAAUAUUGGACAAUGGGCGCAAGCCUGAUCCAGCCAUACCGCGUGGGUGAAGAAGGCCUUCGGGUUGUAAAGCCCUUUUGUUGGGAAAGAAAAGCAGCAGGUUAAUACCCCGCUGUUCUGACGGUACCCAAAGAAUAAGCACCGGCUAACUUCGUG
RNAcentral lists this ribosomal RNA (493 nucleotides) under uncultured bacterium. Its description in RNAcentral is "partial 16S ribosomal RNA". It matches the Rfam family "Bacterial small subunit ribosomal RNA", at positions 27 to 507 of the family's 1533-position model. The record is from RNAcentral.